This 472-nucleotide ribosomal RNA is filed under the name uncultured bacterium. RNAcentral describes it as "bacterial SSU rRNA". It matches the Rfam family "Bacterial small subunit ribosomal RNA", at positions 335 to 798 of the family's 1533-position model. The record is from RNAcentral.
ACUCCUACGGGAGGCAGCAGUGGGGAAUAUUGCACAAUGGGCGCAAGCCUGAUGCAGCCAUGCCGCGUGUAUGAAGAAGGCCUUCGGGUUGUAAAGUACUUUCAGCAGUGAGGAAGGUGGAUAUGUUAAUAGCAUACUCAUUUGACGUUAGCUGCAGAAGAAGCACCGGCUAACUCCGUGCCAGCAGCCGCGGUAAUACGGAGGGUGCGAGCGUUAAUCGGAAUUACUGGGCGUAAAGCGCAUGCAGGUGGUUUGUUAAGUCAGAUGUGAAAGCCCGGGGCUCAACCUCGGAAUUGCAUUUGAAACUGGCAAACUAGAGUACUGUAGAGGGGGGUAGAAUUUCAGGUGUAGCGGUGAAAUGCGUAGAGAUCUGAAGGAAUACCGGUGGCGAAGGCGGCCCCCUGGGACAGAUACUGACACUCAGAUGCGAAAGCGUGGGGAGCAAACAGGAUUAGAUACCCUGGUAGGCUCU